RNAcentral lists this transfer RNA (66 nucleotides) under Nephropsis grandis. RNAcentral describes it as "tRNA-Leu". Lineage: Eukaryota; Metazoa; Arthropoda; Malacostraca; Decapoda; Nephropidae. The record is from RNAcentral.
ACUAAAAUGACAGAUAUAUGUGCAGAACUUAAGCUUCUGUUAAGGAGACGCUUUCUCCUUUUAGUA